Molecule: ribosomal RNA, 496 nt
Filed under: uncultured bacterium
Lineage: Bacteria
Description: partial 16S ribosomal RNA
Rfam family: Bacterial small subunit ribosomal RNA
Source: RNAcentral
GAUGAACGCUGGCGGCGUGCCUAAUACAUGCAAGUCGAGCGAACGGACGAGAAGCUUGCUUCUCUGAUGUUAGCGGCGGACGGGUGAGUAACACGUGGAUAACCUACCUAUAAGACUGGGAUAACUUCGGGAAACCGGAGCUAAUACCGGAUAAUAUUUUGAACCGCAUGGUUCAAAAGUGAAAGACGGUCUUGCUGUCACUUAUAGAUGGAUCCGCGCUGCAUUAGCUAGUUGGUAAGGUAACGGCUUACCAAGGCAACGAUGCAUAGCCGACCUGAGAGGGGGGUCGGCCCACCGGAAAUUGGGAACGGGUCCCAGCCCCAAGGGGAGGGAGAGGUGGGGAAUCUUCCCAAAGGGGGGAAAGCCUGACGGGGCAACGCCGCGGUGGUGAUGAAGGGCUGCGGAUCGUAAAACCCUUUUAUUAGGGAAAAACAUAUGUGUAAGUAACUGGGCACAUCUUGACGGUACCAAAACAAAAAGCCACGGCUAACUACGU